Molecule: ribosomal RNA, 500 nt
Filed under: uncultured bacterium
Lineage: Bacteria
Description: partial 16S ribosomal RNA
Rfam family: Bacterial small subunit ribosomal RNA
Source: RNAcentral
AUUGAACGCUGGCGGAAUGCUUUACACAUGCAAGUCGAACGGCAGCACGGGGGCAACCCUGGUGGUGAGUGGCGAACGGGUGAGUAAUACAUCGGAACGUGCCCAGUCGUGGGGGAUAACGUAGCGAAAGUUACGCUAAUACCGCAUACGAUCUACGGAUGAAAGCGGGGGACCGUAAGGCCUCGCGCGAUUGGAGCGGCCGAUGUCAGAUUAGGUAGUUGGUGAGGUAAAGGCUCACCAAGCCGACGAUCUGUAGCUGGUCUGAGAGGACGACCAGCCACACUGGGACUGAGACCCGGCCCAGACUCCUACGGGAGGCAGCAGUGGGGAAUUUUGGACAAUGGGCGCAAGCCUGAUCCAGCCAUUCCGCGUGCAGGACGAAGGCCUUCGGGUUGUAAACUGCUUUUGUACGGAACGAAAAGGCUCUGGUUAAUACCUGGGGCUCAUGACGGUACCGUAAGAAUAAGCACCGGCUAACUACGUGCCAGCAGCCGCCGUAA